This 2286-nucleotide ribosomal RNA is filed under the name Callipharixenos sp. DPM-2011. RNAcentral describes it as "partial 18S small subunit ribosomal RNA". The stretch from base 1 to 1627 matches the Rfam family "Eukaryotic small subunit ribosomal RNA". Lineage: Eukaryota; Metazoa; Arthropoda; Insecta; Strepsiptera; Callipharixenidae. The record is from RNAcentral.
GUCUAAGUACUAGCCGAUUUUUAUUAAUUUAAAAAAACAAAUGGUGAAACCGCAAAAAGCUCAUUAAAUCGGCUUUGGUUCCUUAGAUAGUUUGCAGUCGGAAAAUUUUUUUCUUAAAUGAAAAAAAUUCUAAAACUGAUAUGGAUAACUGUGGUAAUUCUAGAGCUAAUACAUGAAAAUAAAUAAUUAUUAGGUGCGAAAAUUCAAUCAAGUCUAUUUGUUUUAAGCGCCUUUCGGCGGCUAAAUUUAUGGCUUGUGUUGGUAAAAUUUUUGCACGCUUUUAUUAGAGUAAAAAGCCUAACAUUUAUUGGUCCGUUUUUUAGGUGAAAGUUUUGAAACGUUUUCUUUCGGGGAAAUUGUAUUCUACUUUUAUCGUUUAAAUCGGCCAGAUAAAUCAAUAUGAAUUUUUUUUUAAUUGAAAAAAAAAUUUCACCAAUGUUGAAUCUAAAUAACUUGAACGGGUCUUUACUGAAAGUUUUCGAAAAAACAAUCGUAAAAAAUUGUUUUUCGUUAACGAUUAGGAAAAGGUUUAAAGCAGACCGCAAAAAUUAAAUAGUUGUUUUUUUUCUAUUGAAAAAAAAGCAAUUAAAUUGCGGCGUAUCUUUCAAUUGUCUGCCUUAUCAACUGUCGAUGGUAGAUUAUAUGUCUACCAUGGUUGUAACGGGUAACGGGGAAUCAGGGUUCGAUUCCGGAGAGGGAGCCUGAGAAACGGCUACCACAUCUAAGGAAGGCAGCAGGCACGCAAAUUACCCAUUCCCGGCACGGGGAGGUAGUGACGAAAAAUAACGAUCCGGAACUCGAAUGAGUUUCCGUAAUCGGAAUGAGUACAAUUUAAAUCCUUUAACGAGGAACUAAUGGAGGGCAAGUCUGGUGCCAGCAGCCGCGGUAAUUCCAGCUCCAUUAGCAUAUAUUAAAAUUGUUGCGUUUAAAAAGCUCGUAGUUGAAUCUCUAUCUCAUACUGUCAAACGCUCAUAAUAUUUACUUAUGUAGUAUGUUUUUGACAAAAUUUAAAAAUUGUAUGAGAUAUGCAAACUGGUGGAUUUUCAAAAAAUUUUCAUUCUAGUUCGAACGAAUGGACGGCGGCAGCGGUAAAGACAACGGCCGCCGCGUUGGCGAUNAUCGUAANCGUCGUGUGUCGUUGUCGACGUUGUCGUCAUAAUUUCUCGACUUGUGAAAUUUUUAAUUCGAUAUUGUUGUUUAAUCGUUUCNAGAGUCAUAUUGUUCAUGAAUUUAGGGCGGCGCUUAACGUUAAGUUUUACUUAUCGACUUUGGCGAUAUUUAUUUAUUGUUCAUCGCGCGUAUAGGUAAAAUGUUAUUCGCUUCUUGAAUGCGUGCACAUUGAUUCAUUUAUAUGAAACAUGAACAAUAAAUAUUCUAAUUGUUGAUUAGAAAUUUACAACGGCCUCGCCGACAUCGAAUCAGUUUCGUUGCCGGCGGAAUCGUUAUUUUCAGCAAAUUUAGACCAGUUAAAUUACUUUGAACAAAUUAGAGUGCUUAAAGCAGGCUUCAUUAUAUGCCUUGAAUAUAAACAGCAUGGAAUAAUAGAAUAUGAUCUCGAUACUGUUUGUUAAAACUGUUGCAAAUUGCCGUUUUUCGGNNNNNNNNNNNNNAACUUUGGCGAUAUUUAUUUAUUGUUCAUCGCGCGUAUAGGUAAAAUGUUAUUCGCUUCUUGAAUGCGUGCACAUUGAUUCAUUUAUAUGAAACAUGAACAAUAAAUAUUCUAAUUGUUGAUUAGAAAUUUACAACGGCCUCGCCGACAUCGAAUCAGUUUCGUUGCCGGCGGAAUCGUUAUUUUCAGCAAAUUUAGACCAGUUAAAUUACUUUGAACAAAUUAGAGUGCUUAAAGCAGGCUUCAUUAUAUGCCUUGAAUAUAAACAGCAUGGAAUAAUAGAAUAUGAUCUCGAUACUGUUUGUUAAAACUGUUGCAAAUUGCCGUUUUUGGUGCAUGUUCACACAUGUGCCGGACGUGUAUUCGUUUGGUAACGAAAAGUUGGCUUAAAGAUUUGCGUAUUAUUUGAAAGGAAUUUUCUCAAUUGCAGAAGUUGCUUUCGAAUUGAAAUUUUUUAGUUUAGGCAAUUGUCUCGCUCGACUAGAUUUACACCAGAAACGUUUAUCGUUCAAAGAUAAAUUUGUGCGCUCGCGCGUGCGCACAUGCAGUAUGUAUCGUGCGCACACUCGUUGUCGCCGUUUCGGUGAAAUCGCUUCGAUGUCGACGUGACGCUAAAAAAAUUGCUUAUUUAAAAUGCUAGAAUUUUUUAUAAAAAGAUGCGCAUUUCGACAGUAUAU